RNAcentral lists this ribosomal RNA (503 nucleotides) under uncultured bacterium. RNAcentral describes it as "bacterial SSU rRNA". It matches the Rfam family "Bacterial small subunit ribosomal RNA", at positions 8 to 518 of the family's 1533-position model. The record is from RNAcentral.
AGAGUUUGAUAUGGCUCAGGAUGAACGCUGGCGGCGUGCUUAACACAUGCAAGGUCGAACGGGAAUUACAUUUUAGCUUGCUAAGUGUAAUUCUAGUGGCGGACGGGUGAGUAACGCGUGGGUAACCUGCCUUAUACCGGGGGACAACAGUUGGAAACGACUGCUAAUACCGCAUAAGCGCACAGUAUCGCAUGAUAGAGUGUGAAAAACUCCGGGUGGUAUAAGAUGGACCCCGCGUCUGAUUAGCUAGUUGGCGGUGCAACGGACCACCAAGGCGACGAUCAGUAGCCGGCCUGAGAGGGCAAACGGCCACAUUGGGACUGAGACACGGCCCAAACUCCUACGGGAGGCAGCAGUGGGGAAUAUUGCACAAUGGAGGAAACUCUGAUGCAAGCGACGCCGCGUGAGUGAAGAAGUAUUUCGGUAUGUAAAGCUCUAUCAGCAGGAAAGAAAAUGACGGUACCUGACUAAGAAGCCCCGGCUAACUACGUGCCAGCAGCUGC